Molecule: long non-coding RNA, 303 nt
Filed under: Parus major (Great Tit)
Lineage: Eukaryota; Metazoa; Chordata; Aves; Passeriformes; Paridae
Description: lncRNA (ENSPMJG00000013555.1)
Source: RNAcentral
CAGACCCAAAUUUUUGUACAUUUUCUUCCACCAGUACAGAAAAACAGAUCUGGAUUAGGACUGAGCACUGUUACAAAGAAACCUCCUAGAUGGCCUGCGUGACUCACUUCCUAAAAUGCUGGGUGACUAGAAGGUAUCAGCCUGCUUCUAUAGAAGUGAAUUUCCUAAGAUCAUGCUCCAGCUAAAACUGCAUAACACAGGAAGUAAUAAAAUAUUGCAAGUAUGCUGUAGAAAUACCAACUGCUGGAAGGCAAGAUCUUUCUGGAUCAGGAAUAACAUCCUCAUAAAGACAGAAGGUAAAAC